ACCUCAACUUUAUCUACCUACCUAUCUACCUACAUACAAAAGUAUGUGGACACCCCUUCAAAUUAGUGGAUUCGGCUAUUUCAGAUUAUUCUACCACUUGGCACUGUGCUUACGCAUGCUGUGCAUAAAUUCACACACACUGUCAAGCAAACGUUCAUAUGUGCACUUUGCAUGGAAAUGAUCCCACGCAUGGUUUAUGCACACAUUUGUGCCUACGCACGGUUGAUAAAUGAGGCCCCUGGGCUCUCCAACGCUGUUCCUGGAAAGCUACUGUUCUGUAGAUUUUCACUCCAACCCUCCUAAUCUAGCGCACCUGAUUCUAAUAACUGGGAUUGGAUGGAAAACCUGCAGAACGGUAGCUCUCCAGGAACAGGGUUGGAGAGCCCUAAAAUAGACUCAUUUUGAAUGAACGACGGCACCAUUUCACUUGAGUCCCUUUUCUGAAACCAAUUUCAUCAAAUAGUAUUUAUGUAGCCAACCAUUUUAACAGCAAUAUUUGUCACAACGUAUUUUACAUUUACCCAGCCUUGACCCCCUAAAUAGCAUUCAGCAGCACAAAGCCUCCGUCAGUCCGUCUAGACUUUUAAUUGGUUGUUUUUGUAGCAUCCCAGACAGUUGUGGAAUGUUGUGUUCCCUUCAAUGUCAGAAAAUGAACAGUUUGAAUCCUGUCUUUUUAUGUGACUGCCUGCUAUCUGUGACAACCGGUGGAAUGUUGUCUUCCAUUCCAUGUCAUAAAACGAAAAGGUUGAAUCAGUCAUUGUAAGUGACUUCCUGCUUCUAUUUCAGCUGGAGCUGAAGAUCAUGUACAUAGAAAAGGGGACGGAUAAUGGGGCCAAUCCUAUGUUUCUUAUGGAGUUUAUGGAGAUAACAAAGCUCUGGAUGAGGCAUAGAGCAAAGAAGAAACGGACAAGAUAGGUGCCUCUAUGAAAGAGAAAUUGAAAGACUUGACUGAACAAAUAGAUCCAUCGCUGCACAAAGGAGAGCGUCAAGCUGCCAAAGCACUUCUCGCCCAAAUGAAAUACUUUGCGAGCAUUGAAGACAAGGUGAAGGAAAAACUUUUAGAGCUAAUGUAAACUUUGUUGACUUUGUUUUGAUACUUAUUGGGUCUUUUUAAAGCUGUUUUGAAAGUCUUCAAGAAUUCUAAUAAUACAAUUAGUAUUUAUUUAUUUAUUAUGUACAGUAUUUGUUAGUUUCAGGUAUACUAAUAAAUGUAAAAUAUUAAUAGG
Molecule: long non-coding RNA, 1226 nt
Organism: Oncorhynchus kisutch (coho salmon)
Lineage: Eukaryota; Metazoa; Chordata; Actinopteri; Salmoniformes; Salmonidae
Exons: 3
Source: RefSeq, a predicted model, not a curated record